RNAcentral lists this unclassified non-coding RNA (913 nucleotides) under Hevea brasiliensis (rubber tree). The record is from RNAcentral. Lineage: Eukaryota; Viridiplantae; Streptophyta; Magnoliopsida; Malpighiales; Euphorbiaceae.
AGAAAAGAACUUUAUAACUCAGACAAAUGUUCAAGAAUUUUCACGAGCUUAAAAGUCCAAUCUAUUUUGAGUACAAAUUAUACAAGAUACAUGUACAAUGCAUGUACGUAGUGACUAGUGCAACCAAAUAGAGCAAACUUAUACACAUAAUCCCUAAGAAAAUGCAGGAGUCACCCUUAAAACCUAGAUGUUUAUAGUAGCAUCCCACAGUCUAAGCAACCCAUUGCGUCCACCACUACAAAUCCUUUUCCUUUCAAGAUCAGAAGCCACACAUCGUACCAUUGCUGCUGUUUUCUGAGGAGUUCUGUAGAGCUGCCAUCCCGCCAUUUUUGAACCAGCACUAGAGAAGCCACCUAGCCUCUCUUGAGGACGGUGAAAGAGAGACAUUGAAUUAUCAGCAGCCCCUAUUCCUAACCAGUGUUCCCCAGCAUCAAUGGACAAUAUUGAGGCAGUAUGGAUAGUGACAUUCUUUAUACACCUUAUGCCGCCAUCAUCAUUUUCCCAGAACCGCAGAAGACCAUCGCUUGAACCUGUUAUUAUCCCUUUGUCCGCUGAGGAAUACUCCACGCAUAGAAUUGGACCAGCAUGGCAAGCUAGCACUGCAUCACAUUGUCCUCUAGAAACAGACCAGAUUCGUGCCGUCCAAUCAUCACUACCUGUUAUCACCGUGUCUCCCACCAUUCUAAUUGAUCUUAUCCAUUUGGUAUGUCCCAUAAGCUUGUGCAUUUGCCUCCCAGCACGAACAUCCCAAAUGUUUGCAACCGCAUCUCUGCCUGCAGCAGCUAAGACUCCUGUUGAGUCAUCAUACUCCAUGCAAAGAACAGCACCAGAGCAACGGCCUACCGUAGCAACACAAGUAUCUGUUCUUACAUCCCACAUCUUUACUGUCCCAUCAUGGGCAGCAGUAAGGACA